GCCUGAGUGGCUCAGUUGGUUGAGCACUUGACUUCGGCUCAGGCCAUGAUCUCAUGGUUCAUGGGUUUGAGCCCCAAGUCGGGCU
This 85-nucleotide transfer RNA is filed under the name Felis catus (domestic cat). It matches the Rfam family "tRNA". Rfam says of the family: Transfer RNA (tRNA) molecules are approximately 80 nucleotides in length. Lineage: Eukaryota; Metazoa; Chordata; Mammalia; Carnivora; Felidae. The record is from Rfam by way of RNAcentral.